Molecule: ribosomal RNA, 415 nt
Filed under: uncultured prokaryote
Description: bacterial SSU rRNA
Rfam family: Bacterial small subunit ribosomal RNA
Source: RNAcentral
GUGUCAGCAGCCGCGGUAAUACGUAGGUGGCAAGCGUUAUCCGGAAUUAUUGGGCGUAAAGCGCGCGCAGGUGGUUUCUUAAGUCUGAUGUGAAAGCCCACGGCUCAACCGUGGAGGGUCAUUGGAAACUGGGAGACUUGAGUGCAGAAGAGGAAAGUGGAAUUCCAUGUGUAGCGGUGAAAUGCGUAGAGAUAUGGAGGAACACCAGUGGCGAAGGCGACUUUCUGGUCUGUAACUGACACUGAGGCGCGAAAGCGUGGGGAGCGAACAGGAUUAGAUACCCUGGUAGUCCACGCCGUAAACGAUGAGUGCUAAGUGUUAGAGGGUUUCCGCCCUUUAGUGCUGCAGCAAACGCAUUAAGCACUCCGCCUGGGGAGUACGGUCGCAAGACUGAAACUUAAAUGAAUUGGCGGGG